GACGAACGCUGGCGGCGUGCUUAACACAUGCAAGUCGAACGGAAAGGCCCUGCUUUUGUGGGGUGCUCGAGUGGCGAACGGGUGAGUAACACGUGAGUAACCUGCCCUUGACUUUGGGAUAACUUCAGGAAACUGGGGCUAAUACCGGAUAGGAGCUCCUGCUGCAUGGUGGGGGUUGGAAAGUUUCGGCGGUUGGGGAUGGACUCGCGGCUUAUCAGCUUGUUGGUGGGGUAGUGGCUUACCAAGGCUUUGACGGGUAGCCGGCCUGAGAGGGUGACCGGCCACAUUGGGACUGAGAUACGGCCCUGACUCCUACGGGAGGCAGCAGUGGGGAAUAUUGCACAAUGGGCGGAAGCCUGAUGCAGCAACGCCGCGUGCGGGAUGACGGCCUUCGGGUUGUAAACCGCUUUCGCCUGUGACGAAGCGUGAGUGACGGUAAUGGGAAAAGAAGCACCGGCUAACUACGUG
Molecule: ribosomal RNA, 468 nt
Filed under: uncultured bacterium
Lineage: Bacteria
Description: partial 16S ribosomal RNA
Rfam family: Bacterial small subunit ribosomal RNA
Source: RNAcentral